Molecule: ribosomal RNA, 396 nt
Filed under: uncultured bacterium
Lineage: Bacteria
Description: partial 16S ribosomal RNA
Rfam family: Bacterial small subunit ribosomal RNA
Source: RNAcentral
AUACAGAGGGUGCAAGCGUUAAUCGGAAUUACUGGGCGUAAAGCGCGCGUAGGUGGUUCAGUAAGAUGGAAGUGAAAUCCCCGGGCUUAACCUGGGAACUGCUUUCAUAACUGCUGAGCUAGAGUACGGUAGAGGGUAGUGGAAUUUCCUGUGUAGCGGUGAAAUGCGUAGAUAUAGGAAGGAACACCAGUGGCGAAGGCGACUACCUGGACUGAUACUGACACUGAGGUGCGAAAGCGUGGGGAGCAAACAGGAUUAGAUACCCGGGUAGUCCACGCCGUAAACGAUGUCAACUAGCCGUUGGGAACCUUGAGUUCUUAGUGGCGCAGCUAACGCACUAAGUUGACCGCCUGGGGAGUACGGUCGCAAGAUUAAAACUCAAAUGAAUUGACGGGG